CCUCUACGCGUACGGGUUGUGAGAGCAAUAGCCCGGAGAUGGAUUCUGAGACACGAAUCCAGGUCCUACGGGACGCAGCAGUCGCGAAACCUUGACAAUGCGGGAAACCGUGAUCAGGGGACUCCAAGUGGCUGGGGUAAGACCCAGUCUUUUCUUGACUCUUCAAAGGUCUUGGAAUAAGGGGUGGGUAAGGACGGUGCCAGCCGCCGCGGUAAUACCGGCGCCUCAAGUGGUAGUCGAUUUUAUUGGGCCUAAAACGUCCGUAGCCUGUUUGGUACAUUCGUGGGUAAAUCAACCAGCUCAACUGGUUGAAUUCUGCGAGCACGGCCAGACUUGGGACCGGGAGAGGUGUGGGGUACGCUCAGGGUAGGGGUAAAAUCCUGUCAUCCUGAGCGGACCACCUGUUGCGAAGGCGCCACACUAGAACGG
RNAcentral lists this ribosomal RNA (429 nucleotides) under uncultured euryarchaeote. RNAcentral describes it as "bacterial SSU rRNA". It matches the Rfam family "Archaeal small subunit ribosomal RNA", at positions 258 to 688 of the family's 1478-position model. The record is from RNAcentral. Lineage: Archaea; Methanobacteriati; Methanobacteriota.